Molecule: non-coding RNA, 1733 nt
Organism: Oncorhynchus mykiss (rainbow trout)
Lineage: Eukaryota; Metazoa; Chordata; Actinopteri; Salmoniformes; Salmonidae
Source: RefSeq, a predicted model, not a curated record
CCCUUUUUAAUAGAGAGAGAGAGAGAGAGAGAGAGCUGUCUUCUUUAUAUGUAAAUGUACCAUCAUAAAUCAUUCAAAAGCUAAGUGUAUGGGUUGACAUUGUUUGAUUGUGUUGGUAUAAUGUGAAAUCAGCAUUUUAAGGCAUGUUGCACAAAGUUGUUUACAGGAUGAUAGUGUGGACAUUAGAUUGUCCACAGGUCAUUACUUUUAUUGGUUAAAUAUUAGCCAUUCUAUCCACCUCUGAGGACAGUGUUCGCACGCAAAUGCACUGUUCGACCACUGGGGUCAUUUACAUAAUGACAUCAUUUUCCCAUUCAGUGAUUCUCUGGUGGGGUGAUUGGGCACUGUAACAACAAUGGGUUUCUAACUGUGAAGUAAAACAUCACGAUAUGUACUAUUAUUAUUAUAUUGUUUAUUAUUACAAGUAAUUUUGGAUUUUAAUCAUUACCCUAAGAUAAGUGAACAUCCCCUACUACAGUGGUUCUCGAACCUCUGCUCUGGGACACCCAGAUAUCUCACAACUUGAUUCACUUAUCAAGGGCUUUAUUAUUAGUUGACUGUUCAGCUGUUCUGUCUGGAAUAGUUCAAAUACAUUGAAUGGCUGCGGACCCCAAAGGAGCAGUUUUGCUCUUAUUUUUCUCAACUGAGAAAAAGGCUACCAGAUGCCCCAGUGAGACCAAUGGGAUAUCUAAUGAAAAUGAAGAACCGUGAACAGACCCCUUUUCUAGACAACUUCCAGGGACUAAACUGGUACUAAACUAUGCUUUCUUAACAUUCUGUAUCUUCAUGCAGAUAUAAACUCGACUAAAAUGUACAAAUAUAUUUAUGUAUAAAGUUGAUUUAGGCUUUGCCUACAGGUACAUGUCUUAUAUCGCCACAGGGUGGCGCAAAUUCAUGAGCACAGACAAAGAGACUAAAAACUUUGCAUUGUGAAAAACGUGUCUCAUUCCCUUUUUAUUUUCAUAUCUGGUUUUAGACGAGACAUAAGGAAUACACAUCGCAUUUGAUAAAUACUGUGCAUUAUAAUUUGUAUUGCAUACAUUUAUUUCUUAAAGGACUAGAAACUUUAACUUUACAUUAAAAAAACUCAAUUUCCGGUGUGCAGUCACAGUCCUUGUUUCCGUGAGCUGAAAUUUUGAAAACUACUGCGAAAAGCUGACAGGAGUUCUGGGUCUAGGAACAUCCGAAAAUUGCUAAGGUAACGUUGGCUAACAAAAUUCACCAUAUUUUUUUUUACAAUUAUAGCUAAAAUAAUUGUUAUAUGAAUCGCGUCGGCCACGUUUGUUCAUGAGUUGAGAGGUGGUUUGUUUUAAGCUAGCUGGGUUUGCUUAACCAUGAGUUCAUAUAUUUCAGUGUAAAGCUACAACAAUCUGGGAUUAGCUGUUUUAUCAGAAAAAUUGAACCCCCGACACUUGAUUUAUGGAUGUGGCAGCUGGGAAAAAUAUGGCCUAAACUAGCCCAGUAUUGGACCAAAGGAGACUAACGUUACACCGAGGACCUUACAUGUUCUGAUUUACAAGGGCGAAUUGGCUCUGGAAGCCAAAACAAAUGACAUUACUCCAUGUAAACAGGAAGCAAUUCUCAAUUGCGGUGUUCAGAGACGCAGACCAGGUAGUUCACUCGGUCUUCCAUCUGUUUUCCGUUAACAGGAGCUGCGACAUGGAAAUAUGGCGGUGUGGGGACCCUAACCCUAUAAGAAUGGUCCACCACCCGAAGGAGAUCCAGCCAACUUA